AACUUUUAGCAAUGGAUCUCUUGGCUCUCGCAUCGAUGAAGAACGCAGCGAAAUGCGAUAAGUAAUGUGAAUUGCAGAAUUCAGUGAAUCCUCGAAUCUUUGAACGCACCUUGCACCCUUUGGCAUUCCGAAGGGUAUGCUCGUUUGAGUGUCAUUGUACUCUCACACUCCCGAUGCUUUUGGAUUGGGAGUGGUGGACUUGGGUGUUGCUGCUUUACUGUGGCUCACCUCAAAUGGAGUAGUGCAACUCUUGGUUGGACAUAGUACGGCGUGAUAAGUGUCUUCGCCGGCGCCUCAUUAGAGGGUGGCCGAUCGGGAGCUCUGUGCUUCAAACCGUCUUCGGACAACAUCUGACAACUUGACCUCAAAUCGAGUAGGACUACCCGCUGAACUUAAGCAUAUCAAUAAGCGGAGGCU
This 417-nucleotide unclassified non-coding RNA is filed under the name uncultured Sebacina. Its description in RNAcentral is "sequence contains ITS2". The stretch from base 1 to 154 matches the Rfam family "5.8S ribosomal RNA". Lineage: Eukaryota; Fungi; Basidiomycota; Agaricomycetes; Sebacinales; Sebacinaceae. The record is from RNAcentral.